CACACGACCGUACCGCAAACCGACACUGGUGCGCGAGAUGAGUAUUCUAAGGCGCUUGAGAGAACUCAGGAGAAGGAACUCGGCAAAUUGACACCGUAACUUCGGAAGAAGGUGUGCCUUUAGUAGGUGAACCUGUACAAGGGGAGCCCAAUGAGGUUGCAAAAAAUCGGUGGCUGCGACUGUUUAAUAAAAACACAGCACUCUGCAAACACGAAAGUGGACGUAUAGGGUGUGACGCCUGCCCGGUGCUGGAAGAUUAAAUGAUGGGGUGCAAGCUCUUGAUUGAAGUCCCAGUAAACGGCGGCCGUAACUAUAACGGUCCUAAGGUAGCGAAAUUCCUUGUCGGGUAAGUUCCGACCUGCACGAAUGGCGUAGCGAUGGCCACCCUGUCUCCUCCUGAGACUCAGCGAAGUUGAAAUGUUUGUGAUGAUGCAAUCUCCCCGCGGAAAGACGGAAAGACCCCAUGAACCUUUACUGUAGCUUUGUAUUGGACUUUGAACAGAUCUGUGUAGGAUAGGUGGGAGGCUUUGAAGUGUGGUCGCUAGAUCGCAUGGAGCCAACGUUGAAAUACCACCCUGGUGUGUUUGAGGUUCUAACCUAGGCCCGUAAUCCGGGUCGGGGACAGUGCAUGGUAGGCAGUUUGACUGGGGCGGUCUCCUCCCAAAGCGUAACGGAGGAGUUCGAAGGUACGCUAGGUACGGUCGGACAUCGUGCUAAUAGUGCAAUGGCAUAAGCGUGCUUAACUGCGAGACUGACAAGUCGAGCAGAUGCGAAAGCAGGACAUAGUGAUCCGGUGGUUCUGUAUGGAAGGGCCAUCGCUCAACGGAUAAAAGGUACUCUGGGGAUAACAGGCUGAUACCGCCCAAGAGUUCAUAUCGACGGCGGUGUUUGGCACCUCGAUGUCGGCUCAUCUCAUCCUGGGGCUGUAGCCGGUCCCAAGGGUAUGGCUGUUCGCCAUUUAAAGAGGUACGUGAGCUGGGUUUAAAACGUCGUGAAACAGUUUGGUCCCUAUCUUCCGUGGGCGCUGCAGAUUUGAGGAAGCCUGCUCCUAGUACAAGAGGACCGGAGUGGACACACCUCUGGUGUAUCGGUUGUCACGCCAGUGGCAUUGCCGAGUAGCUAUGUGUGGAAGAGAUAACCGCUGAAAGCAUCUAAGCGGGAAACUCGUUUCAAGAUGAGAUCUGCCGGGGCCUUGAGCCCCCUAAAGAGUCGUUCAAGACCAGGACGUUGAUAGGUCGGGUGUGGAAGCGCAGUAAUGCGUUAAGCUAACCGAUACUAAUUGCUCGUGCGGCUUGACC
RNAcentral lists this ribosomal RNA (1298 nucleotides) under metagenome. RNAcentral describes it as "bacterial LSU rRNA". It matches the Rfam family "Bacterial large subunit ribosomal RNA", at positions 1635 to 2925 of the family's 2925-position model. The record is from RNAcentral.